CUGGAAUGACAGGUGUGAGCCACUGCACCCAAUCAGAAUUCUUUUUUAUUUUGAUAGCUUUGACUGCUUUGAUAGUUCUCCAUCAAGGAAACUGUUCAAAAUGAAAAACAGAACAUGUCUUAUAGGAGGACUCUCUAAGUCCAAUAUUAGUGAAGACGAUAAGGACAAUUUCUUCCUAGAAAUAAUAUAUUUCUAUCUUCAGCACAAGAGGAAUUAAUUCCACAGCACUAAUAGAAACUGUUAAUAGUGUAAAUUACAAACAAUACAACAAAAAUGAAAGCAAAACACACUCCACAGAAGUAUGUCAGAAAUAAAAAAAAGAAAUUCCUUAAACCCUCAAGCCAGCAUGCUUGAUACAAAUUUAUACUUUUUUUUUUUUUUUUGAGAUGGAGUUUUGCUCUUGUUGCCCAGGCUAGAGAGCAAUGGUGCAAUCUCGGCUGACUGCAACCUCCGUCUCCGGGGUUCAAGCAAUUCUUCUGCUUCAGCCUCCUGAACAGCUGGGAUUACAGGCGUGCGCCAUCAUGCCCAGCUAAUUUUGUAUUUUUAGUAGAGAUGGGUUUAUACAUUUUUAAAGAAUGGACAAUGAUGCAGAUGAUUUGUGAGCAUUUUGAUGAGAAAGUGGUGAUUAGAAGGAUACAGCAUAAAUUUAAUUGUAAACAUGCUUAUCUAGCUAACCUAAUCUGUUUCUGUAGAAUUACUGGCAUGGGAGAUUGGAUAGAUGCCUAACCUAUCUCAAUUUUAAGUAAUGUGAGCAAGUCUUUAAGGUAUACAUAAUGAUAAAAUGGAGAAACAUGACCAGAUGAUGAUGGUCAUGUAGGUAAUUAGAUGGAUUUGUAGGUGGUUGAAAUUGUAUCUAAGCAUAGCAAUCUGGCCUCUGUCUACUCUCCAACAGAAUCAAUAAUCAUUCCACAUCCCUCUGCUCCAACCAUACUGAAUUAUUUGCAGUUCUCUAAAAACAUCAUAUUCUUAAACCCCAGGGCUUUUGCACAUACUAUUCCUUUGCCUGAAGCAAUGUUUUCUUGCUCCUUUACCUCAUUCUUACUCAUUCUUUGGAUAUCAGCUUAAAUUUCGUAAGUUGAAAAUGCACUUAAUACACCUACCCUACUGAACAUUAGAGCUUAGUCUAACCUACCUUCAACAUGUUCAGAACACUUACAUUAGCCUACAGUUAGUUGGGCAAAAUUAUAUAACACAAAGCCUAUAAUAAAGAAUAAGAUAUUGAAUAUCUUAUAUUCAAUAUGUAAUUUCUUGAAUAUUAUACUGAAAGUGAAAAGCAAUGGUUUUGCACCAUCAUGAAGUAAAAAAUUCAUGUCAUGCACUUUCUAUAGUACUCAAGAGAACUUGGCAGCACCAUUUGUCACACAGAGUUCACCCUAAAUUCACCUGGUAAUUUUGGUGACCCUCUGCUAGUUAGUUGCUUUUGUCCAAGGGAAAAAUAAAUUUCUUGUAUCUUUAUGACAGAAGAUAGCUUUGUAAUGGAGCAAGGUGCCUAAUAAAGUUAGGCUCUUAUGUUUCCAGGAAGCUGAAAGAUAGGGGUACUAUUUUUCUCAAUGAUUAAAUUUCAGUGAGAUAGCUCCCAGGUCCUUGAGGAAUUCACAUUCUUAGGUUGUAAAAUUGGCAAAAGCCUAAUUUAGUUUUUGGAAAGAUUUACAGGCAUUUCAAAGAGGCACAGAAAAAGCUUACAAUUAAGUUUCCUAAAGUAAAUGACCAAAGAAAAGGAUGUGGAGGGUAAAAGUCUCUCUCUCUCCUUUGCACCAGGCAGAAUUAAAUAGUUUUAUUUCUAAUUUGUACUCACCCUUACACCAACAGUGUGAGCAUCGCCUAGGAAUUUUUGUUAGAGAUGCAAAUCCUCAGAUCCCAAUGCAGACUUACUUGAUAAGAAACUCUGGG
Molecule: long non-coding RNA, 1890 nt
Filed under: Homo sapiens (human)
Lineage: Eukaryota; Metazoa; Chordata; Mammalia; Primates; Hominidae
Description: HSALNT0247342
Source: RNAcentral